UGAGGAAUUUUGCACAAUGGGGGAAACCCUGAUGCAGCGAUACCGCGUGGAGGAUGACGGCUUUCGGGUUGUAAACUCCUUUUCUAUGGGAAUAAAUUUUGACGGUACCAUAGGAAUAAGCCACGGCUAACUACGUGCCAGCAGCCGCGGUAAUACGUAGGUGGCAAGCGUUAUUCGGAAUUAUUGGGCGUAAAGCGUCCGGAGGUGGCGAGAUAAGUCGGGUAUUAAAUCCAUGGGCCCAACCCAUGACCUGUAUCCGAAACUAUUUUGCUAGAGUGUGUUAGAGGUUAGUGGAAUUUCCGGUGUAGGGGUAAAAUCCGUUGAUAUCGGAAAGAACACCAAUUGCGAAGGCAGCUAACUGGGGCACUACUGACACUCAUGGACGAAAGCGUGGGGAGCAAAACGG
This 406-nucleotide ribosomal RNA is filed under the name uncultured bacterium. RNAcentral describes it as "bacterial SSU rRNA". It matches the Rfam family "Bacterial small subunit ribosomal RNA", at positions 355 to 776 of the family's 1533-position model. The record is from RNAcentral.